This 29-nucleotide non-coding RNA is filed under the name Homo sapiens (human). Lineage: Eukaryota; Metazoa; Chordata; Mammalia; Primates; Hominidae. The record is from RNAcentral.
UGCAAGUUUUACUUGAGAUAAUGGCUGAC